This 252-nucleotide ribosomal RNA is filed under the name uncultured bacterium. RNAcentral describes it as "partial 16S ribosomal RNA". It matches the Rfam family "Bacterial small subunit ribosomal RNA", at positions 524 to 776 of the family's 1533-position model. The record is from RNAcentral.
UACGAAGGGGGCUAGCGUUGCUCGGAAUCACUGGGCGUAAAGCGCACGUAGGCGGAUUGCUAAGUCAGGGGUGAAAUCCUGGAGCUCAACUCCAGAACUGCCUUUGAUACUGGCGAUCUUGAGUCCGGGAGAGGUGAGUGGAACUGCGAGUGUAGAGGUGAAAUUCGUAGAUAUUCGCAAGAACACCAGUGGCGAAGGCGGCUCACUGGCCCGAUACUGACGCUGAGGCGCGAAAGCGUGGGAGCAAACAGG